Molecule: long non-coding RNA, 299 nt
Organism: Mus musculus (house mouse)
Lineage: Eukaryota; Metazoa; Chordata; Mammalia; Rodentia; Muridae
Product: predicted gene, 31603
Exons: 3
Source: RefSeq, a predicted model, not a curated record
UGGACAUGAAAGUGCAUAUCUGUAACCUCAGAACUUAGGUUGAGGUACAGGAGUUUUGGGUUUGAAGCCAGCUGAAGGUACCAACCCCACUGAAGACAACGUUCCAAUGCUGAACUCCUCAAGAAGCGCUUGAUUCCCCCUGAGCCCCAGCCAGGCACAGCUUUCUGCAAUAUUCCCAGACCUCCGAUCUCCACAGACUUUGGCACACUGCAAUCUGCGGCACUGUUAUGUGCUCCUAAGCACACAAGGAGGACCACAUGAGUGUUUCGUAAACAUUCUGAGCUGGCGAGCCAAGAGCC